UUCGCAAUGCCCGAAAGGGUGACGAAGCGACGCCGCGUGUGGGAAGAAGGCCUUCGGGUUGUAAACCACUGUCAGGAGUUGGGAAGUGCAGGAGCGUUAAUAGCGUUCUUGCUUGACUAAGGCUCCAGAGGAAGCCACGGCUAACUCUGUGCCAGCAGCCGCGGUAAUACAGAGGCGGCAAGCGUUGUUCGGAAUUAUUGGGCGUAAAGAGCACGUAGGCGGCCUUGCAAGUCAGUUGUGAAAGCCUUCCGCUCAACGGAAGAAUGCCAGCUGAUACUACAGGGCUUGAGUACGGGAGGGGAGAGUGGAACUUCUGGUGGAGCGGUGAAAUGCGUAGAUAUCAGAAGGAACGCCGGCGGCGAAAGCGACUCUCUGGCCCGAAACUGACGCUGAGUGUGCGAAAGCUAGGGGAGCAAACGGGAUUAGAUACCCCGGUAGUCCUAGCCGUAAACGAUGGGCACUAAGUAGAGGGGUUUU
This 477-nucleotide ribosomal RNA is filed under the name Candidatus Kuenenia stuttgartensis. RNAcentral's name for it is "bacterial SSU rRNA". It matches the Rfam family "Bacterial small subunit ribosomal RNA", at positions 365 to 832 of the family's 1533-position model. The record is from RNAcentral. Lineage: Bacteria; Pseudomonadati; Planctomycetota; Candidatus Brocadiia; Candidatus Brocadiales; Candidatus Brocadiaceae.